Long non-coding RNA from Balaenoptera musculus (blue whale), 695 nucleotides. RefSeq lists it as uncharacterized. Lineage: Eukaryota; Metazoa; Chordata; Mammalia; Artiodactyla; Balaenopteridae. The record is from RefSeq and is a predicted model, not a curated record. The transcript has 2 exons.
CUGACGCGCCCACUCGGGGCGUGCACUCGACCUUCCCGGUCCCUUGGCGCAAGGUCAGGGAACAGGGACCAAGGUCCCGGGGCAGACGGCUCGGUCGCGGACCUGGAACGCCCAGCUAGCCCGGACGUCCCCGCUAUCCCUCCUUCCCGCGCUCCCCACCCCCGCCGGCCUCCUCCCCCUGAGCCGCGCGAGUUCGCGCCAGAGUCGCAGUGCUGCCGGGCAUCCAGUGUCCCCGCGCACGGACACCUCCGCCGGCGCGCUGAGAGCAGAAAAGCUAAACUUGUUGCUUCCAAAGGCGAGAGAGCAGUUCUUCUGAAGGUGGCAGAAAGCUUGAAAAGCAUCUCCAAGGCGUCCUCUGGGCUUUACUUGCUAAGCCAGGGGCAGCGCGAGACCCUGUGCUCCGGCUUCGGUAAUGCCGAGGAAGGUCCUGCAUCCAAGACCCAGUCUUGACACUUGUCACAGGCACAGCAGCGGUGGAGACGAGAGUGGAAACGGCCGUGGAGAAGUCCGUGGCCAGAGGAGCCUCGCCGGAGUCCGCAGCGCUGCAGGGCAGGUCCGAAUGGAGCUUGACCCUCUGAACGUGGUAACAUACCGAGGUCAUUUGCAGUGGGAACGUACUACACUGGACGGGUGAAUUCUGACACUGAAGUCCCACAAAUUAAAAUAAAUUGAGAAUGUUUUAAAAUGGUCUUUCA